UGGGGACACCGAGCACAGCUCUGGGGGUAGCUGCCCGGUGCUGGGGACGUGCAGUGUGGGCACCGAUCCCCUCCAGCUCCGUGCAGGAUGCGCCCUGGGGUCGUGGGGGCACCGUGCCCGGCAGAGCCACCGGUUGCUGCCCCCUGCUCAUGGUGGGGAUGUUUUAGGGACAAGCUGGGGUCUGGCUCAGCUCGUCCCAUCUUGUCCCGGGGCUCAGCGUCUCCUUCCUCAGCAGGCAGAGCUGCAGCUGCAGGAGCUCUCGCGCUCCAUCUCCUCCUCCUCCUCGCUCAGCGGUACGUCCCGCGCCCCCGGCCGAGCCGAGAGGGGGUCCCGGGGUUGGGGGGGAGGGGGCCGCAUCGUGCCGGGGCUGAGCACCACGGGCGUCUCUCCCCCUUGUGCCGCAGACCUGGGCUGCACCAGCCCCAGCCUCUCGCUGCAGUCCCCGGUGCUGCCGGCGCUGAGCAGCUCCCUGUCGGAGAACGACCUCUCCAGCCCCGUGGAGCCGCCGGCACCCCAAACACGAGGGCAGCUGCCAGUGCUGCCGGGCUCCCCUGCAGGCUCGGUGCAGACCUGGCCCCUUCUCUCCACGGCUCCCUCCUGGCCGACGGCAGCGCCGCUCUUCCCCCAAACGCCCCCUCCGAGCACCCCGGGGGCUCCCCCCGUUCCCCCUGCCCUCCCUCCCGCCCUCCCCUCGUCCCCCAUCCCCAGCAGCCCCGUGAGCCCCCCUGUGACCAGCGGUCCCUGGUCCCCGACCACCCCGCUCCUGUCCCUGGCCAACGUCUUCUCCCUGGCGGUGAUGAGCGUGGCCCACACGCUGCUGCCCGCCGUCUCCUCCAUCGCCCCCUCGGGGGGCCACCUCUACCCCCCGCUGCUGCCUCGGCCCCAAAACCUCAUCCUGGGACCCCCUCGUUUCGUCUAUCCCGACCCCGCCAGCAUGGCCAAACCCCCCCCGGCUCACGGCGGGGCGCUGGGGGCCGCUGUCCCCGCUGUGGGGGGUGCCGUGCCCUUCUCUCCUCCAGCACCACCAGGGGGUGAGGCCGCGGGGAGCCCCCCAGCGCCACCGCCACCGUGCGCAUCCACACCGGGGAGCCUGGAGGGCAGCGGGGUGAGUGCGGGGCGGGGAGGGCUCCGGGGGUGCUUUUAGGAUUGGGAUGCGGAGCCCUCUUGGCCCUAGGGACACAGGGGGGGUGAACGGGCAGUGGGUCGCAAGGGCCGUGAUGGUUUUGGGGUGUCUGCAGGUGCCGCUCAGCCCCCCCAAGCCCAGCCACCCGCUCAUCGUCGCCGAGUCACUGCCGCCCGGCGUGCCCAAGGCGCGGCUGUCACCCAUCAACGAAGGUGAGGCGGGGAAGGGGCCGUGCCCACCCCAAGGAGGGGGUGACACCGCGCCGCCCCCGACCUCCCAGCUCACCCCCAGGCCCUGCUGCUUCCCCCCCAGCAGAAGCCAAGCCGCAGAUCCUGGGCCGCUUCCAGGUGACGCCGUCCAAGGAGCCAGCGGUCGCCUCGCCGGCACCGGGCAGCGGCGAGGGCGAGGAGCAUGGCACCGAGCUGGCGGCGAGUGGCUCCCCCCUGCCCCCCGCCCCCGGCACGGGGAGCAGCAGCAGCAGCAGCAGCAGCUCCUCGGAGUCGGAGGCAGCGGUGCAGGACCCCGAGGUGGAGGAGGCGCUGCCCCGGGAGGGCAUGGUGGUGGCGGCGGCAGCCGAGAGCGAGCGGGAGGGCGCCGGGGAGGAGGGCGCUGAGGGUGCUCCGCAGGCGGUGCUGAGCCAGGUGUGGCUGAGCUACUCCCGCAGCCUGUCCUAUGUGAGCAGCGAUGACACCGAGAGCGAGGACGAGGAGAUCUGGGAGGAGCUGCAGAGCCUG
This 1857-nucleotide long non-coding RNA is filed under the name Anas platyrhynchos platyrhynchos (common mallard). Its description in RNAcentral is "lncRNA (ENSAPLG00000019416.1)". Lineage: Eukaryota; Metazoa; Chordata; Aves; Anseriformes; Anatidae. The record is from RNAcentral.